GCCAGGUGCAGUGGCGCAUGCCUGUAGUCCCGGUUACUCGGGAGGCUAAGGUGGGAGGAUCACUUGAGCCCAGGAGUUCUGGGCUGUAGUGUGCUAUGCUAAUCGGGUGUCUGCGCUAAGUUCGGCAUUAAUAUGGUGACCUCCCAAGGGCGGGGGACCGCCAGGUUGGAAACGGAGCAGGUCAAAACUCCUGUGCUGAUCAGUAGUGGGAUUGCGCCUGUGAAUAGCCACUGCACUCCAGCCUGGACAACAUAGCGAAACUCUGUCUCU
Aotus nancymaae (Ma's night monkey) is the source of this 270-nucleotide unclassified non-coding RNA. It matches the Rfam family "Metazoan signal recognition particle RNA". From Rfam's summary of the family: The signal recognition particle (SRP) is a universally conserved ribonucleoprotein. It is involved in the co-translational targeting of proteins to membranes. The record is from Ensembl. Lineage: Eukaryota; Metazoa; Chordata; Mammalia; Primates; Aotidae.